Molecule: ribosomal RNA, 654 nt
Filed under: uncultured archaeon
Lineage: Archaea
Description: bacterial SSU rRNA
Rfam family: Archaeal small subunit ribosomal RNA
Source: RNAcentral
GCCUAAAGCGUCCGUAGCCUGUUCUAUAAGUUUCCGGUUAAAUCCACUAGCUCAACUAGUGGGCUGCCGAAAAUACUGUAGAACUAGGGAGUGGGAGAGGUAGACGGUAUUCGGUAGGAAGGGGUAAAAUCCUUUGAUCUAUCGAGGACCACCUGUGGCGAAGGCGGUCUACCAGAACACGUUCGACGGUGAGGGAUGAAAGCUGGGGGAGCAAACCGGAUUAGAUACCCGGGUAGUCCCAGCUGUAAACGAUGCAGACUCGGUGAUGCGCUGGCUUGUGGCCAGUGCAGUGCCGCAGGGAAGCCGUUAAGUUUGCCGCCUGGGAAGUACGUACGCAAGUAUGAAACUUAAAGGAAUUGGCGGGGGAGCACCACAAGGGGUGAAGCCUGCGGUUCAAUUGGAGUCAACGCCAGAAAUCUUACCCGGAGAGACAGCAGAAUGAAGGUCAAGUUGAAGCCUUUACCAGACAAGCUGAGAAGUGGUGCAUGGCCGUCGCCAGCUCGUGCCGUGAGGUGUCCUGUUAAGUCAGGUAACGAGCGAGAUCCUUGCCUCUAGUUGCCACCAUUACUCUCAGGAGUAGUGGGGCGAAUUAGCGGGACUGCCGUAGUUAAUACGGAGGAAGGAGAGGGCCACGGCAGGUCAGUAUGCCCCGAA